Molecule: ribosomal RNA, 253 nt
Filed under: uncultured bacterium
Lineage: Bacteria
Description: partial 16S ribosomal RNA
Rfam family: Bacterial small subunit ribosomal RNA
Source: RNAcentral
GACGUAGGGCGCGAGCGUUGUCCGGAUUUAUUGGGCGUAAAGAGCUCGUAGGCGGCUUGUUGCGUCGACUGUGAAAACCCGCGGCUUAACUGCGGGCUUGCAGUUGAUACGGGCAGGCUAGAGUUCGGUAGGGGAGACUGGAAUUCCUGGUGUAGCGGUGAAAUGCGCAGAUAUCAGGAGGAACACCGGUGGCGAAGGCGGGUCUCUGGGCCGAUACUGACGCUGAGGCGCGAAAGCUAGGGGAGCAAACGGG